This 1644-nucleotide long non-coding RNA is filed under the name Homo sapiens (human). RNAcentral describes it as "HSALNT0268184". The record is from RNAcentral. Lineage: Eukaryota; Metazoa; Chordata; Mammalia; Primates; Hominidae.
CCAAGCAUUAAACCUAACAUGGGGCCCUUCUAAACGGAGGCACCAUGAGACUGCACAGCUCGCAUGUCCACAGAGCCAGGCUUUUCCAGGGGCCUGGAAGUCUUCAUGGGCUGAAGUCAGGCUGCACGUCUUUUGAAAAUAAUUACAAGCCUCAUUUUCCAUUCAUCUCUAUUGCAUGAGUUUCAGGCAGUCAGGCUGUGCAUAGCUAAUCAAAGCCAGAGCCGAAGGCCGCCCAGUUUGAUCUCAGAACAAGCAGACGGAGGCUGCAGAGGCUUGUGUGUGAACUUUGUAAGGCCCAUGUGUGAUGUCCAGGAUGUCAGCGAAGUAAAGAAACUGCUCCCCAAAGCCUCCAAUCUCCAACUUCAAGCAGCAUUCUCACACUUUGUACUCAAAGGAUGGUAACUGCUGCUGCUGUAUUAUACUAUUUCAGAUUCCAGCUAAAUGGUUCUCCAUUUUCUGAAUGUCCUCAUUAUUACUGUCUUUUGAUUUUUAUAAAAUCAAGUUUUUAUCUAUCAAUGUCUAUGUCUAUGUCUCAGUGUGGCGAGGGCUGUGACAAGCCAAGGUGACUAGUCUGGAUGCUGUGCUUGUGCCGAUAGAUGGGUUUUUCUUAGCUUUUAUUUUUAUUCCAGGUGGAGCGAUAUGGGGAGGCCUGGAGAGGGAGAUGAAAGCCGAUCAAAGCCACCCCUUCUGCUGUCAGCUAGAAGGAAAUUGACAAAUCUUUUACUCCAUCAGAAAAUUCAGCUUAAAAAAAUCAUUUAAAGAGAUCCAGAACCCAACCACUUCUCAUGACUUCCACCCCCACGUCCUAGUCCAAGCCAUUGUCCCCAUGGCCAUGUCCUCCAAACUGGUCUUCCUGCUUCCACAUUUACUUUUUGCCAUACAGAAGUCAAAGUUAUCUUCUUAAAAAACAUUGGUUUGGUAUUUUUACAAUCUGGCUUAAAAUGCUCCCAUGAGUUCCGUAAGUACUUAGAACAAAACCCAUUCUGGUUCCUGCUGUCUACCAAGCACCACAUGGCCUAGAAGUCACCACCUCCCUGGCCUCCUCACCUGUUUCCCUCUUCCAUGCUCUGCUGCCCAGCCAUGUUGGUUGCUUGAGGCUCCUUGAACAAAUCAAGCCCAUUAGUAUUUUAUGGCCUUUGCCUCUGCUGUUUCCUCUGCCUGGAAUGCUGGCUCCACAUGCAUCCACAUGUAAAUUAGGAGAACGGCCCCUAAAAGAUGUCCAUGCUCUAAUUUCUGGAACCUGGGAAUAUAAUAAGAUUAACCUGAGUUAUUUCGGAGGAUACAAUGGAAUCUCAUUAGCCUUGAAUAACAGAAAAGAAUGGCCAAAAAGUCAGAGAGAUUUGAAGCUCUGGAAGGAUUCAAUGUGCCUUCUGUUUGGGCCAUGUGGAAAGUGAGAAGGAAACGAAUUCUACUAAUACCAGAAGCUUGGAAGAGGACUCCGAGCUCCAGGGAUGCAGAGAGACUAUAUGGCUGGAUCGAAGUGACAGAAGGGGGUAGCAUGUUAUCAAAUCAGAAGGCCAUGGAGGGAACAGAUGCUGCACGCUGUGAAGCCAUGGUGAAGUCUCAAGAUGGCCCACCCUCACCUUUGGGGCAGAGACUGGGAGGCUGUGCUGGAGCAGGUUCUCGGCGGGAGACAGGAAGCAG